GCGGUUUUGUUGCGCGGACGGGAUGCGCCAAUUUCAAACGGCACAGUCUAUGCCACCGUCGGAGGAAGGCUUCUGGCCCUCGCCGAGAUUGGCAAUGGCGAACUCAUCCCCAAGCGUGUGUUCAACCUGACCGGGCUGACAGCUCAUCCCGGCCGCAAAGAAGGUGUUUGACGAUGUCGAUUGCCGCAGAACGCAAAGCGGAAGUCAUCAAGAAGAAUGCAACCAAGACCGGUGACACCGGUUCGCCUGAGGUUCAGGUCGCGAUCCUGUCGGAACGCAUCGCCAACCUCACCGAGCACUUCAAGAGCCACGUGAAGGACAAUCAUUCGCGCCGNNNNNNNNNNNNUCCACGCGCCGCUCCCUUCUGGACUACGUCAAGAAGAAGGACGAGGCCCGUUACAAGGCGC
This 407-nucleotide unclassified non-coding RNA is filed under the name Hevea brasiliensis (rubber tree). Lineage: Eukaryota; Viridiplantae; Streptophyta; Magnoliopsida; Malpighiales; Euphorbiaceae. The record is from RNAcentral.